This is a non-coding RNA of Phasianus colchicus (ring-necked pheasant), 292 nucleotides long. The record is from RefSeq and is a predicted model, not a curated record. NCBI's taxonomy places the organism in Eukaryota, Metazoa, Chordata, Aves, Galliformes, Phasianidae.
AGUCCCCCCAGGAAUGCAGGGAGGGGCGCAGAGGAUGCGGACCCCCCCCAAAAAAAACAGGGGAAGGGGGAGAAGUAGAGAGGAACCCCACAGAAACCUAAAACUGAUGGGAUUUAAACCCAAACUGAUGGGAUUUAAACCCAAACUUGAGGGGAUUUACCCCCAAAUUUGGGCAAUUUUGAGGCGUUUCACCUCAAAAACCCCCCCCCCCCCCCCCCCAAAAAAAAAGAAAAUAACUCCCAUAGCAUAGAGCGGAGGCUCCCUCCGCAAUUAAAGCAUUUUACUGACCAUU